GCCGUCACACGGAAUCGAGA
RNAcentral lists this small nuclear RNA (20 nucleotides) under Arabidopsis thaliana (thale cress). RNAcentral describes it as "snRNA_04489". Lineage: Eukaryota; Viridiplantae; Streptophyta; Magnoliopsida; Brassicales; Brassicaceae. The record is from RNAcentral.